UCCUCGGUAGUAUAGUGGUCAGUAUCGCCUGUCACGCGCGGGGAGACCGGGGUUCGAUUCCCCGCCGGGGAG
This is a non-coding RNA of Trichonephila inaurata madagascariensis, 72 nucleotides long. Lineage: Eukaryota; Metazoa; Arthropoda; Arachnida; Araneae; Nephilidae. The record is from the annotation of a GenBank genome assembly.